UUCGCAAUGCCCGAAAGGGUGACGAAGCGACGCCGCGUGUGGGAAGAAGGCCUUCGGGUUGUAAACCACUGUCGGGAGUUAAGAAAUGCAAGGAUAUUAAUAGUGUCUUUGUUUGACUAAGGCUCCGGAGGAAGCCACGGCUAACUCUGUGCCAGCAGCCGCGGUAAUACAGAGGCGGCAAGCGUUGUUCGGAAUUAUUGGGCGUAAAGAGCACGUAGGCGGCUGUGUAAGUCGGUUGUGAAAGCCUUCCGCUUAACGGAAGAACAGCAUCCGAUACUACAUGGCUUGAGUGCGGGAGGGGAGAGUGGAACUUCUGGUGGAGCGGUGAAAUGCGUAGAUAUCAGAAGGAACGCCGGCGGCGAAAGCGGCUCUCUGGCCCAUAACUGACGCUGAGUGUGCGAAAGCUAGGGGAGCAAACGGGAUUAGAUACCCCGGUAGUCCUAGCCGUAAACGAUGGGCACUAAGUAGAGGGGUUUU
RNAcentral lists this ribosomal RNA (477 nucleotides) under uncultured bacterium. RNAcentral's name for it is "bacterial SSU rRNA". It matches the Rfam family "Bacterial small subunit ribosomal RNA", at positions 365 to 832 of the family's 1533-position model. The record is from RNAcentral.